This 238-nucleotide ribosomal RNA is filed under the name uncultured bacterium. RNAcentral's name for it is "partial 16S ribosomal RNA". It matches the Rfam family "Bacterial small subunit ribosomal RNA", at positions 118 to 352 of the family's 1533-position model. The record is from RNAcentral.
UGAGGAACAUGACCUUCGGCGGGGGAUAGCCGGCCCAACGGCCGGGUAAUACCGCGUACGACCUUUCGGGGACAUCCCCGGAUGGUGAAAGCAGCAAUGCGCCGAUGGAGUGCCUCGCGGCCUAUCAGCUAGUUGGUGAGGUAACGGCUCACCAAGGCAACGACGGGUAGCUGGUCUGAGAGGAUGGCCAGCCACAUUGGGACUGAGACACGGCCCAGACUCCGUACGGGAGGNAGCG